UACAUCACAAGAGAAAUUGUUAAAAAAAAAAUGAAUUUAGACUACAUCAUGUUAACUUCAUAUAUUGGAACAUUACAUACUAAUGUAUAUACUAAGCAAAAAAAUAAUUAUUAUAUCAUCAGAAUUAUUAUAUCACUUAAAUAUUAAGAAAUAAUAAAUUAGUAAAAACAAAAGGGCAAUGUUUAUAUAGUAAUAACCAUUUUGAAGUAAACUUCUUGACAAUCUAAAUCACAUAAGUAGCAUUAAAUAAAUAAGGUCAUUCUUUUUAUUGAGCAUCAAAAAAACAAAUCAUGACAAUUCUCUAAACUCUUGAAAAAGUGUAAUAAUUUUGGAAAAAGAUAUUCAGAAACAUAUAUCUACAUCACAAGAGAAAUUAGUUAAAAAAAAAUGAAUUUAGACUACAUCAUGUUAAAUUCAUAUAUUGGAAAAUUACAUACUAAUGUAUAUACUAAGCAAAAAAAUAAUUAUUAAAUUAUCAGAAUUAUUUUCCUCAAGUACGCGAGGUUAAGGAAUAUACCCUCUUAGGAUAGAACAAUUUACUUCAUCAGAAUAGUGGUACCUCAUAUUCUGCUGAACUUUGAACUCACUCAACGAC
RNAcentral lists this long non-coding RNA (595 nucleotides) under Solanum tuberosum (potato). RNAcentral's name for it is "long non-coding RNA (STUB_LNC004463)". Lineage: Eukaryota; Viridiplantae; Streptophyta; Magnoliopsida; Solanales; Solanaceae. The record is from RNAcentral.